RNAcentral lists this ribosomal RNA (510 nucleotides) under uncultured bacterium. RNAcentral describes it as "bacterial SSU rRNA". It matches the Rfam family "Bacterial small subunit ribosomal RNA", at positions 30 to 526 of the family's 1533-position model. The record is from RNAcentral.
AUUGAACGCUAGCGGCAUGCUUAACACAUGCAAGUCGAACGGUAACAGGUCUAGCUUGCUAGAUGCUGACGAGUGGCGGACGGGUGAGUAACGCGUAGGAAUCUACCUCAUAGUGGGGAAUAACCUGGGGAAACUCAGGCUAAUACCGCAUAAGCCUUUCGGGGGAAAGCAUGGGACUGUAAAAGGCCAUGCCCUGAGUGAUACGUCUGCGUCGGAUUAGCUAGUUGGUAGGGUAAAGGCCUACCAAGGCGAGGAUCAGUAGUCUGGUCUGAGAGGACGACCAGCCACACUGGGACUGAGACACGGCCCAGACUCCUACGGGAGGCAGCAGUGGGGAAUAUUGGACAAUGGGCGCAAGCCUGAUCCAGCAAUGCCGCGUGUGUGAAGAAGGCCUGCGGGUUGUAAAGCACUUUCAGUGGGGAGGAAGGCCUCGAUGUUAAUAGUAUCGAGGAUUGACGUUACCCAAAUAAGAAGCACCGGCUAACUCUGUGCCAGCCGCCGCUGUAAAAC